UUAAAACAAGAUAGGUAUCAAACAUCACAAAUCAGAUCAAAGAAAGCAGUUCUGGAAAACGAAGAUUGAUUCUGGAAAACGAAGAUUGAUCUUAAAGCUAUUCAAGAAAACGAAGAUUGAUCUUGACCUUCUGCUGAGAAACGAAGAACGAUCUUCGUUUAUGGCAUAAACAAGGAUAAUCAGUUUCCUUGUAAAAAGAUCAAUCCUGGAAACAUCAUUCAUCUUAUAUUCUCAUAUAGAAUCAGCAAAGGAUCAAUCUGAGUCACAUUUGUUCCAGAAUUUGAAGAAUC
Molecule: long non-coding RNA, 290 nt
Filed under: Cicer arietinum (chickpea)
Lineage: Eukaryota; Viridiplantae; Streptophyta; Magnoliopsida; Fabales; Fabaceae
Description: long non-coding RNA (CARI_LNC001999)
Source: RNAcentral